RNAcentral lists this long non-coding RNA (523 nucleotides) under Setaria viridis. Its description in RNAcentral is "long non-coding RNA (SVIR_LNC003349)". The record is from RNAcentral. Lineage: Eukaryota; Viridiplantae; Streptophyta; Magnoliopsida; Poales; Poaceae.
CUGCGUUUUUACAUCUGUGCCUGGUAUGCAUCGAAGGCCGCCAACAAUUUUACACAGCGACUGGCUUCGACGAUGAUAUAGAAGACGUCCUCCACCAUGCUACCCGGCACGCAGCUAGCUCCGGCAUUCUUCUGCACCACUGUCGCCUUUGUCCUCAGUAACCCAAUGUUCCCCCUGGCUGCACCCACAGUCUUCAACUGCAGCCCCCGUGCCUUCCAUUAUGCAGCCUGACCAUGAUUUCAUUCACCACGUAAUUUUCAAUCCAGAUUUCUUCCACCGCUUCAUUGAGAUUGAGGUCCUGAAUUCCUCCACUACAUGGUAAAGAUUAAAUAUAGCAUUGCGUUGUAUCAGAGUUUAGAUCAGAAAGAUUACCUAAGCCAUGCUAGCUAUAUCACAUUUAAAUUUGUCACCCUAAUUUUUAGCUGUGGUGGCUACUUUUUGCAAAAUUUUGGUAGCGUUAUUUUUUUUCCUUUCCAUCGCAUAUAUAUCAUAUAGGACAAUUGUUUCCAACAACCGUCUACCA